RNAcentral lists this ribosomal RNA (465 nucleotides) under Vreelandella stevensii. Its description in RNAcentral is "partial 16S ribosomal RNA". It matches the Rfam family "Bacterial small subunit ribosomal RNA", at positions 338 to 795 of the family's 1533-position model. The record is from RNAcentral. Lineage: Bacteria; Pseudomonadati; Pseudomonadota; Gammaproteobacteria; Oceanospirillales; Halomonadaceae.
CCUACGGGCGGCAGCAGUGGGGAACAUUGGACAAUGGGGGGAACCCUGAUCCAGCCAUGCCGCGUGUGUGAAGAAGGCCCUCGGGUUGUAAAGCACUUUCAGUGAGGAAGAACGCCUGGUGGUUAAUACCCAUCAGGAAAGACAUCACUCACAGAAGAAGCACCGGCUAACUCCGUGCCAGCAGCCGCGGUAAUACGGAGGGUGCGAGCGUUAAUCGGAAUUACUGGGCGUAAAGCGCGCGUAGGUGGCUUGAUAAGCCGGUUGUGAAAGCCCCGGGCUCAACCUGGGAACGGCAUCCGGAACUGUCAAGCUAGAGUGCAGGAGAGGAAGGUAGAAUUCCCGGUGUAGCGGUGAAAUGCGUAGAGAUCGGGAGGAAUACCAGUGGCGAAGGCGGCCUUCUGGACUGACACUGACACUGAGGUGCGAAAGCGUGGGUAGCAAACAGGAUUAGAUACCCGUGUAGUC